This 73-nucleotide transfer RNA is filed under the name Candidatus Parcubacteria bacterium. Its description in RNAcentral is "tRNA-Glu". It matches the Rfam family "tRNA". From Rfam's summary of the family: Transfer RNA (tRNA) molecules are approximately 80 nucleotides in length. Their secondary structure includes four short double-helical elements and three loops (D, anti-codon, and T loops). Further hydrogen bonds mediate the characteristic L-shaped molecular structure. tRNAs have two regions of fundamental functional importance: the anti-codon, which is responsible for specific mRNA codon recognition, and the 3' end, to which the tRNAs corresponding amino acid is attached (by aminoacyl-tRNA synthetases). tRNAs cope with the degeneracy of the genetic code in two manners: having more than one tRNA (with a specific anti-codon) for a particular amino acid; and 'wobble' base-pairing, i.e. permitting non-standard base-pairing at the 3rd anti-codon position. Lineage: Bacteria; Candidatus Parcubacteria. The record is from RNAcentral. RNAcentral also lists the same sequence under 1 other name.
GCCCUCAUCGUCUAGUGGCUUAGGACACCAGACUCUCAUUCUGGUAACACCGGUUCGACUCCGGUUGAGGGCG